AUCUUCUUUCAAUAUCAUAUUAUCCAACUUCAGCAUUGGUUCUUCACUGCACAGUUCAAAUGAGUCAAACAUUUUAGAUUUUAUUUUUCAAUUUUGUCAUCAAUUCAUUACAGCCUGAAAAUUUACCAUUAGUCCAAUAUAAUGUUAAUCAAUUUGGUUCUUUGAAAGCAAAUAAAAGUCCAUACUUUGCUUUACCACUUGAAGGUUCCGAAUUAGGACUUAGGCUGUGUAAAGUAGUUUUGAGAUAUUUUACAGUAUGAAAAUCUAUGUCUUUUUUUUAAUGUUUUUGUGAUUGUAGAACAAAGUGAAAGCAAGAGUAUAAUAGUUCUAGUAGUUGUGCCAAUCAUAUCAGUAUUAAUCUUCUUGGCUUCGAGCAGCUUUUUUAUCAUUAGAAAUGUAAAAAGAAGAGCUAAAGGAAAGGGGAAGGCCUUUAAUAACACUAGAGUGAAGCAUAGAGUGAAGCGGUCGAUUAAGGUGCCAACGAUUAGUAACAAGCUAGCAGAUAUGAUGAUUAUUCAUGGAGGAAAUAUGGCCAAAAGCCAAUCAAAGGUUCUCCACACCCAAGAUAAUUGAAGUCAUAUCGGGUUGAAAGCUAAGCGAUUGUGUAGAGAUUGCCAAGCGACCGUUGAAAAUUGAAGACUGAGAAGGCAUUUAGGA
Molecule: long non-coding RNA, 657 nt
Organism: Cucumis melo (muskmelon)
Lineage: Eukaryota; Viridiplantae; Streptophyta; Magnoliopsida; Cucurbitales; Cucurbitaceae
Exons: 3
Source: RefSeq, a predicted model, not a curated record